This 468-nucleotide ribosomal RNA is filed under the name uncultured bacterium. RNAcentral's name for it is "partial 16S ribosomal RNA". It matches the Rfam family "Bacterial small subunit ribosomal RNA", at positions 28 to 507 of the family's 1533-position model. The record is from RNAcentral.
GACGAACGCUGGCGGCGUGCUUAACACAUGCAGGUCGAACGGAAAGGCCCUGCUUUUGUGGGGUGCUCGAGUGGCGAACGGGUGAGUAACACGUGAGUAACCUGCCCUGGACUUUGGGAUAACUUCAGGAAACUGGGGCUAAUACCGGAUAGGAGCUCCUGCUGCAUGGUGGGGGUUGGAAAGUUUCGGCGGUGGGGGAUGGACUCGCGGCUUAUCAGCUUGUUGGUGGGGUAGUGGCUUACCAAGGCUUUGACGGGUAGCCGGCCUGAGAGGGUGACCGGCCACAUUGGGACUGAGGUACGGACCAGACUCCUACGGGAGGCAGCAGUGGGGAAUAUUGCACAAUGGGCGGAAGCCUGAUGCAGAAACGCCGCGUGCGGGAUGAAGGCCUUCGGGUUGUAAACCGCUUUCGCCUGUGACGAAGCGUGAGUGACGGUAAUGGGUAAAGAAGCACCGGCUAACUACGUG